This 1475-nucleotide long non-coding RNA is filed under the name Mus musculus (house mouse). Its description in RNAcentral is "predicted gene, 36913, transcript variant 4 (Gm36913)". Lineage: Eukaryota; Metazoa; Chordata; Mammalia; Rodentia; Muridae. The record is from RNAcentral.
GCAAGAGCGGUGCCUGGCAACAAGCGCGCUGUUUCUGUGGCCCGGGGCGGGCGUAGUUGGAUCUAGCCGUACUGCAGAGGCAUCUGGGUCCCAGAUGGGCACAGAGGGUACCGAUGAGGAUGAUUUUCAAUUCUCACAGGAUAUCCCUAAACUCUAGGCAAAGUGCGUGUUGUUAGUCGUGACAUACACCAGACAGCGACUUCGUCUUACAAAUAGGAAAAUGGAAGCGUGGCGCUGUAAAUGGCGAACGACAUAUAAGUUGGACUGGGAAAGAGCGGCUUUCCCUCCUUCAGAAUCUGUGGAGAGAAGCUCAGAGGAGGAGUAGGGGAACUAUUGGCGAGGAGGUUAGGGUCUACCCUGUUCUUCUGACUCAAGCAACCCCGGCUUUUUGCUAAGGCAAACAUGGCUCUGAGAACAGUUGAAAAAACAAAGGCUAAGAAGGCGCAUUUCUCCUUAGAGCAGGACAACAGCCGUCUGUCUAUAGGGCAAUCCUGGGGCCAAACCAUUUAGGUUUCUGAGAAAGCCCCUGGUGAUGCUUGAAAUUAAGAGACGUCUCUGGAUUAGAAAAGUAAAGAAGUGACCUACGUGUGUCUGUUUCAAAAUGGUCUCCUUUAUCUUUCUCAGUAACCUUUGGGUUUGUCCUUGGAGUGAAGUUGAUGCUUGCAGAAUGGCAGGUGACAGGUGCAGGAAACUGCAGAGGGACAAGCCAACUGUGUCUAUCUUGUAGCUGUGGCCCAGCUUCAAAAUGGGUGCGAAUUCUUGGAUAGCAAGCAGAACUAGAGAUUAGCCACUGCGUCUUGCUAGGCCCUGCCAUCCACAUCCACUUGUGCUCAGCCUUGUCUAGUCUUUAACACAGGUGGAGAACCAGCAGAUGCUGUUCAUAUUCUCAAAACUGGAAGUUGGACUUCGAUUUUGUUGUUAUUGUUUUGAAGCAAGAUUGACAAAGUUACUGGAUCAGUAACCCAGACUGGCCAGGGACUCUCUGUGUAAGCCAGGCUGGUUCGUCAGAGAGCUGGGAUUAUAACCCUCUUCCCCCCUUUUAAGGACAUCAAGGGCUCUGGGCAUCGUGAGAGUUUCCUUUUGUGUUUUGAUGGGGAUCAAGAGCAACACUGCCUGGACCCCUUCCUGGACACCCGCCAGGAGUCAUCUAAGAGAGGCUAAAGGAAUGCAAGUGUUUUCUGGAGAUGGCCCACCAUUUUUACGUGUCCUACAAUGGGUCAGCUCUGAGAGGCCAGGCCCAAAGAGACUUCAUCUCAGGAUUGCUUCUUGCUAUUAUAUGCUUUUCCUGUCACCAUUACAUAGUUUAAUGAUUCCUGGGCAAAAGCUGAACUUUCAUGAAUUAAUGCUGUUUAGACAACUUAAUGAUUUUGUAGAAUUUCUGCUUUGAUUCAAACAAUUUUAGGAAGAACAUUUUUGGGAGAUAGUUUUGGCUGUUUUGCUAAACAGAUAUAAUAAAAUCAGAAUCAAGAAUAAAA